RNAcentral lists this ribosomal RNA (521 nucleotides) under uncultured euryarchaeote. Its description in RNAcentral is "partial 16S ribosomal RNA". It matches the Rfam family "Archaeal small subunit ribosomal RNA", at positions 354 to 881 of the family's 1478-position model. Lineage: Archaea; Methanobacteriati; Methanobacteriota. The record is from RNAcentral.
CAUGCGCGAAGCGUGAUAGGGGAAUUCUGAGUGGCUAGGUUUUUUUGACUGUUUUUUUUGUGAUUACUUUGGUAAAAAGGGGAGGUUAAUACAGGUGCCAGCCGCCGCGGUAAUCCGCGAACCCCCAGUGGUAGCCGCGGUCAUUGGGCCUGAAGCAUCCGCCGCCGGAUCAUUAAAUUCUCUGUUAAAUCCCUUAACUUAACUGGGGAAUUGCCUGGAAAACUGUUGGUCUAGGCACUGGGGAAGGUCGGGGGUAUUCUUGGGGUAGGGGGAAAAUCCUUUAAUCCUACGUAAACCACCAAGGGCAAAGGCGCUUGACCGGAAAAGCUCCAACGGGGGGGAACGAAAGGGACGGGAACAAACCGGAUUAAAUACCCCAAAGGUCCUAAAAAUAAACGGAUCAAAAUGGGGAGUACGCCCUCCCUUAAAUUUCUGCGUGCCCGAGGGAAGACGUGAAUUGGGGCCCCCGGGUGACUACGACCAAAGGUUUGAAACUUAAACGAAUUGGCGGGGGGACCCAA